This 208-nucleotide ribosomal RNA is filed under the name uncultured eubacterium AS14. RNAcentral's name for it is "partial 16S ribosomal RNA". It matches the Rfam family "Bacterial small subunit ribosomal RNA", at positions 326 to 523 of the family's 1533-position model. The record is from RNAcentral.
ACGGUCCAGACUCCUACGGGAGGCAGCAGUAGGGAAUAUUGCGCAAUGGGCGAUGAGCCUGACGCAGCGACGCCGCGUGAACGAUGAAGGCCUUCGGGUCGUAAAGUUCCGUCAGCAGGGAAGAAGGCAAGAUAGGUGAAUGAUCUAUAGUGCUUGACGGUACCUGCAGAGGAAGCCCCGGCUAAUUACGUGCCAGCAGCCGCGGUAA